GAUGAACGCUAGCGAUAGGCUUAACACAUGCAAGUCGAGGGGCAGCACAAGGUAGCUUGCUAUCUGGGUGGCGACCGGCGCACGGGUGCGUAACGCGUAUGCAACUUGCCCUAUACAGGAGGAUAACCCGUCGAAAGACGGACUAAUACUGCGUAUGCUCACAACUUGGCAUCAAGUGGUGAGGAAAGAAAUUCGGUAUAGGAUAGGCAUGCGUCCCAUUAGCUUGUUGGUGAGGUAACGGCUCACCAAGGCAACGAUGGGUAGGGGAACUGAGAGGUUUAUCCCCCACACUGGUACUGAGACACGGACCAGACUCCUACGGGAGGCAGCAGUGAGGAAUAUUGGUCAAUGGGCGCGAGCCUGAACCAGCCAAGUCGCGUGAAGGAUGACUGUCUUAUGGAUUGUAAACUUCUUUUAUACGGGAAUAACAAGAGUCACGUGCGACUCCCUGCAUGUACCGUAUGAAUAAGCAUCGGCUAACUCCGUG
This 487-nucleotide ribosomal RNA is filed under the name uncultured bacterium. Its description in RNAcentral is "partial 16S ribosomal RNA". It matches the Rfam family "Bacterial small subunit ribosomal RNA", at positions 28 to 507 of the family's 1533-position model. The record is from RNAcentral.